CCUACGGGAGACAGCAGUGAGGAAUAUUGGUCAAUGGGCGUAAGCCUGAACCAGCCAAGUCGCGUGAGGGAUGAAGGUUCUAUGGAUCGUAAACCUCUUUUAUAAGGGAAUAAAGUGUGGGACGUGUCCUGUUUUGUAUGUACCUUAUGAAUAAGGAUCGGCUAACUCCGUGCCAGCAGCCGCGGUAAUACGGAGGAUCCGAGCGUUAUCCGGAUUUAUUGGGUUUAACGGGUGCGUAGGCGGCCUUUUAAGUCAGCGGUGAAAGUCUGUGGCUCAACCAUAGAAUUGCCGUUGAAACUGGGAGGCUUGAGUAUGUUUGAGGCAGGCGGAAUGCGUGGUGUAGCGGUGAAAUGCUUAGAUAUCACGCAGAACCUCGAUUGCGAAGGCAGCCUGCCAAGCCAUGACUGACGCUGAUGCACGAAAGCGUGGGGAUCAAACAGGAUUAGAUACCCGGGUAGUC
RNAcentral lists this ribosomal RNA (460 nucleotides) under uncultured bacterium. Its description in RNAcentral is "partial 16S ribosomal RNA". It matches the Rfam family "Bacterial small subunit ribosomal RNA", at positions 338 to 795 of the family's 1533-position model. The record is from RNAcentral.